GUGCUCACUUUGACAGCACAUAUACUAAAAUUGGAUCAAUGCACAGAUUAGCAUGGCCCCUGCACAAGGAUGACACACAAAUUCGUGAAGCAUUCAGUAUUUUU
This is a small nuclear RNA of Heteronotia binoei (common prickly gecko), 104 nucleotides long. Lineage: Eukaryota; Metazoa; Chordata; Lepidosauria; Squamata; Gekkonidae. The record is from RefSeq and is a predicted model, not a curated record.